UAAACUGAAGAGUUUGAUCAUGGCUCAGAUUGAACGCUGGCGGCAGGCUUAACACAUGCAAGUCGAGCGGUAGAAAGUAGCUUGCUACUUUUGAGAGCGGCGGACGGGUGAGUAAUGCGUGGGAAUCUACCUGGUAGUGGGGGACAACAGUUGGAAACGACUGCUAAUACCGCAUACGCCCUACGGGGGAAAGCGGGGGAUCUUCGGACCUCGUGCUAUCAGAUGAGCCCGCGUGAGAUUAGCUAGUUGGUGGGGUAAAGGCCUACCAAGGCGACGAUCUCUAGCUGGUCUGAGAGGAUGAUCAGCCACACUGGGACUGAGACACGGCCCAGACUCCUACGGGAGGCAGCA
RNAcentral lists this ribosomal RNA (351 nucleotides) under Thalassolituus sp. CG17_big_fil_post_rev_8_21_14_2_50_53_8. RNAcentral's name for it is "bacterial SSU rRNA". It matches the Rfam family "Bacterial small subunit ribosomal RNA", at positions 1 to 353 of the family's 1533-position model. Lineage: Bacteria; Pseudomonadati; Pseudomonadota; Gammaproteobacteria; Oceanospirillales; Oceanospirillaceae. The record is from RNAcentral.